UUCCUGCCCAGCCACUGGGGCCGUGUCGAGUGGUGGCACUGCCAGCCCUGCAGUGGGAUGUAGCCUGGAAAGUGCACAGAGCUGAGGCAAGGGAUUUAAAGGGACCAACCAAGGGAGGUGAAGAAAGAAAGAAGAAGGGAAGUGAGACAGCAGCCAAGCAGCACUAAGUUCCUGUGUAAGCAGAGGGAUAAUAACUCCUGUCAGCAGCAAGGUCCCGACUGAAGUGGCAGCUGCAGUUGUUCCUGUGGUGUGGGCCAGUGGAAUUCCAAGAAAAUGGACAAGGACAGAACCUGCAGAAGAGCCCAGGCCUGAGCUGGCUGAGUGUUGGUGUGACCCACAGUGGGUGUCCCCUGCCCUUGGGACAGUCCCCAGAGCUCCCUUUGGCAUCCCCUGGUGAAGGGUGGGAGCUGCCCAGAGCCAGCAGCAUCCAGCUGGAGGAUCCAGGAGGAUGCAGCUGAUGUUGCCUGGGAGGUGUUGACUCAGUACCUUUCCUGGAGCUGCUGUUGGAUGAAGAGGUGCCCCCAAUUGACCUGUAAGGUCCUGGUUUUCUUCCCUGCUUCUGCCAGCUUGUGCAGGAGAUGGAAUUCCAGUGCUACAGUGUAGAUGGGUGGUGGUGCUCCCAAAAGGAGCCUUUGUGCCUUCAGGCCAGGUUCUGGUGCCCCUGGAACUGUUGGGAGAAGCGGAGGGUUGGCAGUGAGAGGCCUGGAGUGAUGUUGCUGUGGCACAGAAGAAAUGAGCAGUGAUGGUACAAUUGGCUCUUUUCUCUUGAAUGUAAUGGUAGGAGCUGCAGGAGUGCAAGGUGUGUGUUCCAGUCCCCACCAUUUCGUUUGCACGUGUCCUGGUCAGACACAGGUCCAACUUCCUCAGUCCUUAACCCAAGAGAGGGAGAAUUAAGGACUGGCAGUGUUAAGGUGAUUGGUGUGACAGGGGUUAAACUGGGAA
This is a long non-coding RNA of Chiroxiphia lanceolata (lance-tailed manakin), 942 nucleotides long. RefSeq lists it as uncharacterized. The transcript is spliced from 5 exons. The record is from RefSeq and is a predicted model, not a curated record. NCBI's taxonomy places the organism in Eukaryota, Metazoa, Chordata, Aves, Passeriformes, Pipridae.